CCCUUAGAUGUUCUGGGCUGCACGCGCGCUACACUGAUGCACUCAACGAGUUUACGACCUUGCCCGAUAGGGUUGGGUAAUCUUUUUAAAAUGCAUCGUGAUGGGGAUAGAUUAUUGCAAUUAUUAAUCUUCAACGAGGAAUUCCCAGUAAGUGCGAGUCAUCAGCUCGCGUUGAUUACGUCCCUGCCCUUUGUACACACCGCCCGUCGCUACUACCGAUUGGGAAAAUUUUAGAGAGUCCUGGACUGAUGAUUGUUCGGCUUCACGGCCUUACUUUCGUCGGGAAAGAAUUCGAUAAUAUUUUUCUAGAGGAAGUAAAAGUCGUAACA
Molecule: ribosomal RNA, 329 nt
Filed under: uncultured eukaryote
Lineage: Eukaryota
Description: partial 18S ribosomal RNA
Rfam family: Eukaryotic small subunit ribosomal RNA
Source: RNAcentral